This 253-nucleotide ribosomal RNA is filed under the name uncultured bacterium. RNAcentral's name for it is "partial 16S ribosomal RNA". It matches the Rfam family "Bacterial small subunit ribosomal RNA", at positions 524 to 776 of the family's 1533-position model. The record is from RNAcentral.
UACGUAGGGUGCGAGCGUUGUCCGGAAUUAUUGGGCGUAAAGGGCUCGUAGGCGGUUUGUCGCGUCGGGAGUGAAAACUCAGGGCUUAACCCUGAGCCUGCUUCCGAUACGGGCAGACUAGAGGUAUGCAGGGGAGAACGGAAUUCCUGGUGUAGCGGUGAAAUGCGCAGAUAUCAGGAGGAACACCGGUGGCGAAGGCGGUUCUCUGGGCAUUACCUGACGCUCAUGCACGAAAGCUAGGGGAGCGAAUGGG